GGGUAUCCUGUAUGAGCUGGGUAUCCUUUAUGAGCUGAGCUAUCCUGUAUGAACUGGGGUAUCCUGUAUGAGCUGGGUAUUCUGUAUGAGCUGGGAUAUCCUUUAUGAGCUGGGGUAUCCUGUAUGAGCUGAGUAUCCUUUAUGAGCUGAGCUAUCCUGUAUGAACUGGGGUAUCCUGUAAGAGCUGGGUAUCCUUUAUGAACUGGGGUAUCCUGUAUGAGCUGGGGUAUCCUGUAUGAACUGGGGUAUCCUGUAUGAGCUGGGUAUCCUUUAUGAACUGGGGUAUCCUGUAUGAGCUGGGGUAUCCUGUAUGAGCUGGGUAUCCUUUAUGAACUGGGGUAUCCUGUAUGAGCUGGGGUAUCCUGCAUGAGCUGGAUAUCGGUUAUGAGCUGAGCUAUUUUGUAUGAACUGGGGUAUCCUGUAUGAGCUGGGGUAUCCUUUAUGAACUGGGGUAUCCUGUAUGAGCUAGGGUAUGCUGCAUGGGCCUGGUAUCCUGUAUGAGCUGGGGUACGCUGUGAGACCUGGGUACCCUGUAAGAUCUGGGGUGCCCUCUGCAAGCUAGGGUAACAAAUGGACCCGUGUGUGUUCUGAGGACUGUAGAGGUUUAUCCCUCUCAGGUAAAAAUCCACAGGAAUAUUCCAGCCCCACAAGUGGCUCUGCUCCAACGAAGUCAUUCAAGAAGCAGGCUCUGUCCAAGUUGUGAGAUCCUUUUUCUGUCUUUCCCUAUGGCAAUGUCUAUCUCUGCAUGGCCAGAAGUUUUCAUCAAGAAAGCAGGGAGAGGGUGUGGAUGAGACACAUCCAUAGGUUAAGAGCUAGGUGUGGCGGUGCAUCGGGCUUCCUCUCCCGUUCCACUGAGGAGUGCGUAGUCACCGACCACUCCCAGCUGUGGAAAGCAGGCACCGCAGUCCAGAUUUGUGAUUGGGAAGAAGGCAGGGCAGAUCUGAUGGAUCUCUAGCAGUUUCCCCUCAGUAACCAUCUCUCUAGUGCCUAAGAAAUGGUGCCUGAUGGUUCAUUCAUUGUAGCAUUAUUUUUAAUACUAGAUUUAUUUUAAAUUCAGACUGUGUUAUAUGUUAUAAUACCUUUAUUUUAUACUGGAAGCAAGCGUCAAUGUAGGAGAGUCUUGAAACCCAGCACCAGAUAGUGGUUGCUAAUCCCAGUCUUCCAUACAAGGAUCCCGGGUUCUGUGAAGAAAUGCUUAAUUCUGGGACUGGGAGGGGAGUAAACAAGAUGAGCCUGGAGCAGAAAGCAAGGAAGUGUCCAAACCAAGCCAAACCAAAACACCCAGGAUGCCGCCAUAAUGGGGACAUUUUAAAGGGACAUAGGAGGCAAUGGAAAGAACCCCCAGUGGCUAAAGCUAGAGCAAUUUGAGCAACAAAGUAAGAUAGCAUUGGAAAAUAACUCAAAGUAUAGAGCCAGCCUAUUCUGAUAGAAAUGACUGAGGAAAUAAAUAAUUGGAGGGAGAGUGACAAGUUUUCUGUGCAGACUUCCAAAUAACUUAUGUAGAUCCCCUGCCCUUGAAGAGGGGAAGCACAGCUCCCCACUUUGGCCACGUGGGCUGCUCAUAAUGACUUCUUCCAAAAGGUAUGGAAAGGGGUAAGGCAGUUUUACAGUGGAGAAACCUGGCAGACACUGCUUCAGCCAGGUCAUCACGUUUAACCAUGCUCGGUUACGUUGACCCGAUGCACCCUUGAUGGGAUGGGAUGAAAGCGCUCGACCUCCAUCACAGGUGCAGUCUCCACUCAACCCACUAUGAGAAAAACAUCAAACUCCAAUUCUUCAGUGUUCCUGCCGGUCCUCCUCAGAACAGCCAAGGUCAAGGUCAUUCAACACAGGAAAGUCUGAGAAUCCAUCACCACCAAGAGGAGUCUAAGGAGAACUGAGGAUUGAGGGCCAUGGGGUGUCCCGGCUGGGGUCCGGGGUAGAGACGGAUUUUAGGUAAAGACUAGAGAACCCCGAAUAAAGCGUGGGCUUCAGUGAAGCACUCCUGUGAGUCAGUACUGCUCUGUGAACUGGGGCGGAUGCACAGAGGAACACGAUCUAAUAAUGGGAAAAGAGGAGAUGGGGUGUGGGCUAUGUAGGAACUCUGUGCUAUCUUUACAAUUUUUCUACAAGUUCAUUAUUUUAAAAUUAAAAAUUUAGGAAGAAAAACAACAACAAAAACAUUCCCAGGGGAUUCCAUUGUCCAGUGGGCAUUAGAAUGUUGUUGUUGUUGUAAUUUGUUUAUUGUCACGUUAGCCAUUAUUUAUUAUUAUGUCACAUAUGUGAGACCACAAGGGCUGCUCCCCGCAUACCGGUGGCCCCCCCAGUUAGCUGCCUUGGGGAGGGGAGGAAGACCACCAGAGCCCAGGGUGGGGGCGAGGCGGCUCCCGGAGGCUCCCCUGCCCCUCCCAGUCCUCACCUCCUCCUCCCUGAGUGGCCUGGUGGGAUGGAAGGUGUCUGUGGCCGGCUGCCCAGAACACCAAGAAGGGCCCUCUUCCUCCUUGAACUUGAGCCAGCCCCUGGCGUCUUUCUCGGGGCCAGAGCUUUGCCUCUAAAUGGUCUUUGUUUGCAGACGAUCUGCUGUGCAGAUCAUGAACCGUCGCCGCAGUGCCAGACAGACUCUUCAUCCGGACCGGCCGUCCCACUGGGUCCCCUCAGGAAAGCGCAGAAGCCGGGGACCCCAAACCGCGUCCAGCUCCUCCCACCCGCCCUUCUCGGAGCCGCGCACUUGGUAACUUGCGUGUGAAGAACUCACGGCCGUGUUGCCAGGAAACUGCGGGGAGCAGCCUUUGUGGUCUCACAUAUGCGUAACAUAAUAAUAAAUAACGGUUAACGUGAUAAUAAAUAAACAAAUAACAAUAAUUAUAACGUGCCCCA
Molecule: long non-coding RNA, 2856 nt
Filed under: Homo sapiens (human)
Lineage: Eukaryota; Metazoa; Chordata; Mammalia; Primates; Hominidae
Description: HSALNT0395148
Source: RNAcentral